AAUUUGAAAAGUUUCGCCGGUGCCGCAAGGCUUGUCGCUCUACGCUGGGUAUAACGACAACGGGAAGUGAGGUGUAAAUCCUCCACGGACCCGCCGCUGUAAGCGAGUUAAACCUCGGGCAAUGAUGCCACUGGUUAAUUUUUUUAAUCGGGAAGGCUGCCACAGGUUCCGGUUGUUAACGGAAACUCGUAAGUCAGAAGACCUGCCGUCGAAACAUCCACUUU
This 224-nucleotide non-coding RNA is filed under the name Geoalkalibacter subterraneus. The record is from RNAcentral. Lineage: Bacteria; Pseudomonadati; Thermodesulfobacteriota; Desulfuromonadia; Desulfuromonadales; Geoalkalibacteraceae.